This 547-nucleotide ribosomal RNA is filed under the name uncultured bacterium. RNAcentral describes it as "bacterial SSU rRNA". It matches the Rfam family "Bacterial small subunit ribosomal RNA", at positions 355 to 896 of the family's 1533-position model. The record is from RNAcentral.
UGGGGAAUAUUGCGCAAUGGGGGGAACCCUGACGCAGCCAUGCCGCGUGAAUGAAGAAGGCCUUCGGGUUGUAAAGUUCUUUCGGUAUUGAGGGAGGUUGAUGUGUUAAUAGCACAUCAAAUUGACGUUAAAUACAGAAGAAGCACCGGCUAACUCCGUGCCAGCAGCCGCGGUAAUACGGAGGGUGCGAGCGUUAAUCGGAAUAACUGGGCGUAAAGGGCACGCAGGCGGUUAUUUAAGUGAGGUGUGAAAGCCCUGGGCUUAACCUAGGAAUUGCAUUUCAGACUGGGUAACUAGAGUACUUUAGGGAGGGGUAGAAUUCCACGUGUAGCGGUGAAAUGCGUAGAGAUGUGGAGGAAUACCGAAGGCGAAGGCAGCCCCUUGGGAAUGUACUGACGCUCAUGUGCGAAAGCGUGGGGAGCAAACAGGAUUAGAUACCCUGGUAGUCCACGCUGUAAACGCUGUCGAUUUGGGGGUUGGGGUUUAACUCUGGCGCCCGUAGCUAACGUGAUAAAUCGACCGCCUGGGGAGUACGGCCGCAAGGUUA